GUGCUCGCUUUGGCAGCACAUAUACUAAAACUGCAACUGUGCAGCGAAGAUUAGCAAGGCACCUGCUCAAGGACGACACACAAACUCAUGAAGUAUUCCAUAUUUUU
Small nuclear RNA from Camelus dromedarius (Arabian camel), 107 nucleotides. Lineage: Eukaryota; Metazoa; Chordata; Mammalia; Artiodactyla; Camelidae. The record is from Ensembl.